Molecule: long non-coding RNA, 321 nt
Organism: Culex quinquefasciatus (southern house mosquito)
Lineage: Eukaryota; Metazoa; Arthropoda; Insecta; Diptera; Culicidae
Exons: 3
Source: RefSeq, a predicted model, not a curated record
AAGCUGUACAGCAACGUGUGCACGGUCAGUCCCCAAACCUAAAGCGAAUGGAAGUAGUUUUUAGUGAUCCUAUGAUAAGCUUCAGAAUUAAGAUGGACUAAAGCAAUGUCAUAACUUGAAGGUGUUCAACCACCAUGGAAAGCCCGACGGUCUCAAAGAGUCUCAAUACAUGGGACGACCUGCGGAUCCCUAUCCGAUAGACACCACUUUCUACCCAUCAUCGUGCUCCUCGGCAGAAGGUCUGAAAGCCAAUGUCUCCAAAACAAAACAACAACAAAAUCUGCAAAGCAAGGACCACAACUUUACUUCUGAAUGCUGGUA